UUAAAAACGUUGAAAGAGAAAAGUAAGUAUAAAAAAAUGUCCUAAAGAGAGCGGGGGUAGCUGAAAACCUGCGGAUAAUUGUAUACCGAAACUCACUCUGGAGUUGCAGGCUGAAAUUAAUAGUAAGCUGUGCCGGCAUAGCCGUUAAUAUUAAUUAAGAUAUAAAUUUGGGUGGUACCGCGAAACAGUCUCCUCGCCCCAGGC
RNAcentral lists this non-coding RNA (204 nucleotides) under Clostridium acidisoli. Its description in RNAcentral is "T-box sequence". It matches the Rfam family "T-box leader". From Rfam's summary of the family: Uncharged tRNA acts as the effector for transcription antitermination of genes in the T-box leader family. T-boxes are found upstream of many aminoacyl-tRNA synthetase genes and some amino acid biosynthetic genes usually in Gram-positive bacteria. The record is from RNAcentral. Lineage: Bacteria; Bacillati; Bacillota; Clostridia; Eubacteriales; Clostridiaceae.